This 3348-nucleotide long non-coding RNA is filed under the name Lactuca sativa (garden lettuce). Its description in RNAcentral is "long non-coding RNA (LSAT_LNC001873)". The record is from RNAcentral. Lineage: Eukaryota; Viridiplantae; Streptophyta; Magnoliopsida; Asterales; Asteraceae.
UUUUCUUCUAUAUACAUUGAAGGCUUCUGCUCAUGUUCACCCUCUAUAUUGAUACUCAAAGCAAUCAUAUCUCAAUUCUAACAACAACGAAGCUUUAUGUGCUCAAAGUCAAAUUGAAAUUUGAGUUUUCUUGGGGACUGGAACUAGAGGUAUGAUUCUUCUUUAAAACUCUGAUUAAAUGGUGUUAUGAUGCUUGUUUUGUAAUUUAUCUAGCGACAGAAGAUAAAACAAUCAUGAAAUGGUCUUCAGGAAUUUCAUCAUCACGAUUCACAAGGAAUCCAACUUUUCCAAAAUCACAUGUUAUUAUAUGGGUCGUGAAUUCGAAAUGGCUUGAAGAUAACGAGUCUUGUGUAGCCAUUUUGAAUUGUGUCGAUAUCAAUUGAGUGCAAAUUUAAUAAUAUCAUGAACAUCUGAAGACGAAAAAUCGAAAAAUAUAGCAUUAAGCUUGAUGUAAAACAAAGGUAUUAAAAAGUUCAAGAAAAGCUUUUAUUGCUAAUCACUUUCCACUUUUAAGGUUAUUCAUAUUACUCAGAAAAAUAGCAUUAAAUUAAAACUCGUUGUACUUCUACAUGAAACACCAAUUAUAGAUUAUAGAUGGUACAACAUAUAAAUAAAUACAAGUGUAUAUUUGCAGCUAAAAUGAAAAAAGCAUCAAUACACAAACCUCAAGGCCAAUGAGAAGAAGAAGAAGAAGAAGGAUCAACAAAAUCUCCUCCAUUGAAACUCAUCUAAUAAUUCAAUUCCAUCUAGGGUUUCAUUCCCAAUCCUCUUCUGCUAAUUCACUGUCAUUAUCUUCUCUUGGUGGCCUAACAACAAUAACCACAGUUCCAAGACUUUCUUGAAUACCUUUCUCCUUCAAUGUCGAUCCUCUAUCCACCUUCAAUUCAUCUUCACUCAAUACCAGAUAGAAUCCAUCAUCAGCUGCCACCUCUUUCCUACUUCGAUCAGCCACCACCAAGAUAGCCUCCUCCUUGUACCACCUAUUAACUCUCCAUGGCAAAGCCCUCGCAUCAGAAAAGGCCACCACUACUCCGCCUCUCUUCAACCCUAUCACUGGCUCCCACGCCGGCAACACCACCCAUCUCCUCCAGUCUUUCUCAGCCUCCACUAUACCAAAAUCCCCUUUGCACCCAGUUUCCCAUGGUGCAUCCUUCACCCCUUUGUCUCUCUCACCCGCUCCACAAACCGGCAAAACUGCAACCACCGUAGCCUCUGCAAUCUCCCCCAGAUUUAACCUCACUACAGGAACUUUCACUCCAUCAACAACGCCUCCAUCUCUUCCCUGUCCUUCUCCAUCACCAUCGUUUCCAUCCAAUUCCUUUGUCACCCACGCUUUUGCUGGCUCAGACACAGCCACAGACAAAGCCUUUUGCAAUACAGAUAUUUUCGACUCUGUAUCCCGAUUUUCAAGAGCUUGUCUGUAGUACAUAAAGGCCAAACAAUCAGCCGGAAUCGUGUAAUCAAAAUAAUCCCAUCCACGAUCACCGCGUCGACGGGGGAAAUCCUUGAUUGCCCUAGCAAGUUCCUGAGCAUCACUUGGUUCAAAUUUAUUUUCAAGCAUGUAUCUCGCAGCUGCGGCACGCUGGUUCACACUCAACAACCUUAUCUCAUACAGCAACUCCGCACCACCCUUAUCGUAAAACUCGAGGGUUUCCUCAUCAACACCUGACUGAACCAAGGACUCCCUAACCUGAGCAGCUACAACGAGUCGAUUCUGCUCAACACCACUGAUGCCGGUAACUUCUUCGAGGGUGGAUGGGGCAAAUCCUUCCAGAAUCAAUGGAGGAAUGAGAGGGGCGUAUUCGAACCACAGGCCAAGGCGAUUUGAAAGAACAUCGAGGCGAGCUUCUGUGUCGAGGUUACGAUAUUGGGGUGGUAUUGGAGAUUGCGAUGUCGGAGGGCGAAAGGGUUGGUAGAGUUUUUGAGACGGUGGCUUAGAGGCGGGGAUAAGUGUGGCUGAGAUGGGUUUUCGGAAGGGUUUAUUGGGUCUGUGGUGGGAAGUGAGAGGAAGCGGUGAGGAAAGGAAGGGUGAAUGGAGGAAAGUGGGGGUAGGUUUGGGAGAAUUCAGAGCUAAAGAGAGCAUGGUUGAAGGUUGAAGAAAUGGAGGGAAUUGGGGAAACCUUAUCCUGUGUGAUAGUUACGAAGAAGGUGAUCAAGAUUCAAGAGGAGUAGGGAGUAGGAUGAAGGGAUUUCACAAAUAAUUUUGAAUCGAUGCUUUCUUCAUUUAUAUUCUCCCCCCUUCAACUUGUAUUCCAACAAUAUUUAUGCCCCCAACUUCCAUUACUAGGACUAAGGCUCUAUCUUUUAAUUGAAAAAUUUAAGAGGUAACCUUUUAAAAUUUAGAUAUGGCUUAUUUGUUUGCCUCUUAUAAAUUACAACUGAAUUGCAUAAUAACCUCUUAAAAAAUCAAACUUCAUAUCACAUCUAAAAAAUAAAAAAGACGGAAGUGCCCUACCUUAAAAACCACUCUUCUUUUCUUCUCAACACGCCUCCAUUAUGUUCUUUCUCAUCGAAACACACACACAAAAACAUUUCCUGCCAUCGACAAUCUGCUGAAGCUCGUCACUGCCAUCGUCGUCGCCGAUGUUUUCUCUACCUCCGGCGACUGCUGCGCCUCCGACAGCUUUGCCUCCCACGACUUCUGCAGACAGUUUCUUCGCCAAUAUGUUGUUUUUUCGCUUACUAUGUGUGGUUUUUCUUGAUAAAUCUAAUGAAAUUGGUCUUCCCUCUUUCUAUGUGCGAUUUUUCGUCUCUUGUUAUGUGCGGGUUUUCUUGAUAAAUCUGAUGAAAUUGGUCUUCCCUCUUGGUAUAUGUUGUUUUCUGCAAAUGUUGAUAUGGGUUGAAUUCUAAAAUAUAAGUUGAUGAUCUUGUUGUUUUUGUUGAAUUUUGAAAUGUAUGUGUGUGUAUAGUUGAAAUAUGUUGUUGAAAUUUGUUGAGUUUGUGUUUAUUUGUUGAACAAUAUUGUUGAAAAUGUCUUCUUUGCUGAAAUUUAGUUCAUUUGAUGAAUUCAUUUGUUAUGGACUGUUUGUUCAUUUUGGUCUUUUUUUUUGAAAAAUUUUGGGUUAUGAUUAGCGAUUAGUGGAUAAGAUGAUGGUUUAAGAUCAUGUAUCCAAUUUGACGGGUUUCAUCACAUGUUUUUAAGGUGUGGUUUCACUGGUUAUAGAAAUGGGAGAAAGGAAGAGAAAACAUAUUUUCCCAAAAUGACCUUUGGUUAAAAGGAAGAAAGAUCGACUAGAGAAAGUUGGAAUGGAGUAAGGGAAUUGGUGAAAGAAGAAGAAAGCCCAUACAAUGUUAGAGUUGAAGGAGAUAAUGAGAAUGAAUUGGCGUUGAAAUGAAAUAGAAUUCCAC